This 511-nucleotide ribosomal RNA is filed under the name uncultured bacterium. Its description in RNAcentral is "partial 16S ribosomal RNA". It matches the Rfam family "Bacterial small subunit ribosomal RNA", at positions 28 to 507 of the family's 1533-position model. The record is from RNAcentral.
GACAAACGCUGGCGGCAUGCCUAACACAUGCAAGUCGAACGGACAGAACAGGGAAGCUUUUCGGAGUGGAACUGGAAAGUUAGUGGCGGAUGGGUGAGUAACGCGUGGACAACCUACCUUGUAAAGGGGAAUAACCUCGAGAAAUCGAAGCUAAUACCCCAUAAUAACCUUGCUUCGCAUGAAGUAAGGAGGAAAGGCGGCCUUAGCGCUGUCGAUACAAGAUGGGUCCGCGUCUGAUUAGCUAGUUGGUGAGGUAAAGGCUCACCAAGGCGACGAUCAGUAGCCGGCCUGAGAGGGUGAACGGCCACAUUGGGACUGAGACACGGCCCAAACUCCUAUGGGAGGCAGCAGUGGGGAAUCUUCCGCAAUGGGCGAAAGCCUGACGGAGCAAUGCCGCGUGAGUGAAGAAGGCCUUCGGGUUGUAAAACUCUGUCCUUAUCGAAGAGAGAGUGUUGUAGUAACUGACAAUACUAGGACGGUAGAUGAGGAGGAAGCCCCGGCUAACUAUGUG